Chlorocebus sabaeus (green monkey) is the source of this 1300-nucleotide non-coding RNA. NCBI's taxonomy places the organism in Eukaryota, Metazoa, Chordata, Mammalia, Primates, Cercopithecidae. The record is from RefSeq and is a predicted model, not a curated record.
UCAUCUCCGUGAGAAAAGUGAGACAGGGCUGGCCUAGGCAGCGAUCUGAACUUAGAAUGUGAGACCUUAGCAGCAAUUCCAGAGCAAUGGCAACACGCAUUCUUAUUAAACGAGUUAGCUUCACAGUGAUGGCUUAUUUCAUAUCUGGGUUGCUAGAGCCUCCAGGUAACACAAUAGAAGGAAUGUGCUUAGACAGCCCAGAGCAUCAGUCCACAUUUUCAGUUAGAAAGCAAUGAAUGUAUGUGAACCAUGUUGCUACAUCAACUCCUGUCUAGGACAAGGUGGUGCAUAAAUGAGUCCUUGUGUAUCAAUAUUUUAUUUUCAUUCUGUACUCUUACAUUGAUGAAAAAGUGAAAAGUUUUUAUGAUGAAUAGUAGCUGGAUUCUUCCCUGUCAGUGCUAAGUGAUCGAAUAGAAACGAAGGUUCAAAUAAACACAAAUACUCCUACAGAUAAGUAUGAUCAUUUUCCUGACCUUUUAAUGUUGUUUAUGCCAUAUGCACAUUCAAAAAUUAUCAUUUCCUCUUUUAUUUGCAGAACUGAAAUUUUGUCUUUCAAAGGACUGGUGCAUCAUUUUGCUGCUGGAAGCUUGGAAAAGCUCUGACAGACUCAAGUCUCUGCUGUGCUUCUGUGGUGGAGCUUUGGACAGCCGUGGGGUUAAGGUUGUUGGAUUCAGAGUUGCUAUUCCUCCACUACAUCGGGACAGGAUCCCAUCCAGGAUCCCACAUUCCAUGUAGUCACUGCCUCCUUAGGCUCCUCCUGGCUGCGACAGAUUUUCAGAUUUCCCUUGUUUCUGAUGAUCUUGGCAGUUUUGAGGAACACUGGUCAGGUUGAUUUUAGUGCAUUUGAGCUACAAUCAUAUUUUAUUAUCUAGAAAAUACCUUGAAGACAUCUGUGGACCUACAGACUUCCAGGGCUACUUUCUGCAUACAAAGGAGGCAUGAACAGGCCUUUCUACUCAGAAGUGGACUAAGUUAUCAGAAUCAAAAUGGAGUCAUGAAUAUUAAGAAAACCCUGACAAAUGGAGCCAGCAAAAACCGUAAAGAAGGGGUUCUGACACUUGUGUGCCUGAUGAUGAAAAAGACUAUACAAAAACCACGACCUGGCACACAACCCAUUGCAACUGUACAAAAAAUAUAUACAAGAAUAUCUGCCCAGCAACUGCCUGUCCAAACUUGUACUGGUGUCACCCUUGUCAUUGAUCUUUGUAACCAAAGGUAAGUAUUUCAAAAACAAUUAUGUAGUCCUCAUUUUUUUCUUUAGAAAUCUUUGCCUUUUACCUCCCUGACACAUAUAUUAAUA